Molecule: ribosomal RNA, 395 nt
Filed under: Tolypothrix scytonemoides VB512173
Lineage: Bacteria; Bacillati; Cyanobacteriota; Cyanophyceae; Nostocales; Tolypothrichaceae
Description: bacterial SSU rRNA
Rfam family: Bacterial small subunit ribosomal RNA
Source: RNAcentral
ACGGGGAAUUUUCCGCAAUGGGGGCAACCCUGACGCAGCGACGCCGCGUGCGGGAUGACGGCCUUCGGGUUGUAAACCGCUUUUGCCAGGGAAGAAGAAUGUGACGGUACCUGGUGAAUAAGCCCCGGCUAACUACGUGCCAGCAGCCGCGGUAAUACGUAGGGGGCGAGCGUUGUCCGAAGUUCCUGGGCGUAAAGCGCGCGUAGGCGGCUUUUUAAGUCUGGGUGGAAAGGUUCAGUGCUCAACACGAACAGUGCCUUGGAUACUGGGAAGCUUGAGUGUGGCAGAGGAUAGUGGAAUGGCUGGUGUAGCGGUGAAAUGCGUAGAUAUCAGUCGGAACACCCAUGGUGAAGGCAUCUAUCAGGGGUAACACUGACAGCUCAAUUUACUCAAUU